Molecule: ribosomal RNA, 567 nt
Filed under: uncultured bacterium
Lineage: Bacteria
Description: bacterial SSU rRNA
Rfam family: Bacterial small subunit ribosomal RNA
Source: RNAcentral
GAGCGGCCGAUAUCAGAUUAGCUAGUUGGUGGGGUAAAGGCCUACCAAGGCGACGAUCUGUAGCGGGUCUGAGAGGAUGAUCCGCCACACUGGAACUGAGACACGGUCCAGACUCCUACGGGAGGCAGCAGUGGGGAAUAUUGGACAAUGGGGGCAACCCUGAUCCAGCCAUGCCGCGUGUGUGAAGAAGGCCUUCGGGUUGUAAAGCACUUUAAGCGAGGAGGAAGGGCUCUGGGUUAAUACCUUGGAGCAUUGACGUUACUCGCAGAAUAAGCACCGGCUAACUCUGUGCCAGCAGCCGCGGUAAUACAGAGGGUGCAAGCGUUAAUCGGAAUUACUGGGCGUAAAGCGCGCGUAGGCGGUUGUGCAAGUUGGAGGUGAAAUCCCCGGGCUUAACCUGGGCACUGCCUUCAAAACUGCACGGCUAGAGUAUGGGAGAGGAAGGUAGAAUUCCAGGUGUAGCGGUGAAAUGCGUAGAGAUCUGGAGGAAUACCGAUGGCGAAGGCAGCCUUCUGGCCUAAUACUGACGCUGAGGUGCGAAAGCAUGGGGAGCAAACAGGAUUAGAU